RNAcentral lists this ribosomal RNA (400 nucleotides) under uncultured bacterium. Its description in RNAcentral is "bacterial SSU rRNA". It matches the Rfam family "Bacterial small subunit ribosomal RNA", at positions 356 to 773 of the family's 1533-position model. The record is from RNAcentral.
AGGGAAUAUUGCUCAAUGGGGGAAACCCUGAAGCAGCAACGCCGCGUGGAGGAUGAAGGUUUUCGGAUUGUAAACUCCUUUUCUAAGAGAAGAUUAUGACGGUAUCUUAGGAAUAAGCACCGGCUAACUCCGUGCCAGCAGCCGCGGUAAUACGGAGGGUGCAAGCGUUACUCGGAAUCACUGGGCGUAAAGAGCGCGUAGGCGGGAUAGCAAGUCAGAUGUGAAAUCCUAUGGCUUAACCAUAGAACUGCAUUUGAAACUGUUAUUCUAGAGUAUGGGAGAGGUAGGUGGAAUUCUUGGUGUAGGGGUAAAAUCCGUAGAGAUCAAGAGGAAUACUCAUUGCGAAGGCGACCUGCUGGAACAUAACUGACGCUGAUGCGCGAAAGCGUGGGGAGCAAAC